This 301-nucleotide ribosomal RNA is filed under the name uncultured bacterium. RNAcentral's name for it is "partial 16S ribosomal RNA". It matches the Rfam family "Bacterial small subunit ribosomal RNA", at positions 509 to 807 of the family's 1533-position model. The record is from RNAcentral.
CAGCAGCCGCGGGAAUACGAAGGGGGCUAGCGUUGCUCGGAAUGACUGGGCGUAAAGGGCGCGUAGGCGGUUUUGACAGUCAGAUGUGAAAUUCCUGGGCUUAACCUGGGGGCUGCAUUUGAGACGUCAAGACUAGAGUGUGAGAGAGGGUUGUGGAAUUCCCAGUGUAGAGGUGAAAUUCGUAGAGAUCGGAAGGAACAUCUGUGGCGAAGGCGACUAUCUGGGCCAAUACUGACACUGAGACACGAAAGCGUGGGGAGCAAACAGGAUUAGAUACCCCAGUAGUCCCUGUCUCUUAUAC